Molecule: ribosomal RNA, 171 nt
Filed under: Rhododendron anthopogonoides
Lineage: Eukaryota; Viridiplantae; Streptophyta; Magnoliopsida; Ericales; Ericaceae
Description: 4.5S ribosomal RNA
Source: RNAcentral
AGGUCACGGCGAGACGAGCCGUUUAUCAUUACGAUAGGUGUCAAGUGGAAGAUGGCCUUCAACAAAAAAAAGUGGAAGGUCGCCUUCAACAAAAAAAAAGUGGAAGAUGGCCUUCAACAAAAAAAAGUGGAAGGUCGCCUUCAACAAAAAAAAAGUGGAAGGUGGCAGUAA